GAUGAACGCUGGCGGCGUGCCUAAUACAUGCAAGUCGAGCGGUAAGGCUCCUGCAGGUUAUUUAAGCGAUCUUAAGGCUUGAAUGACGUGCUGGAGUACACGAGCGGCGGACGGCUGAGUAACGCGUAGGAACGUACCCCAAAGUGAGGGAUAAGCACCAGAAAUGGUGUCUAAUACCGCAUGUGGUCUAAGGAUUAAAGCUUCGGCGCUUUGGGAGCGGCCUGCGUAUGAUUAGCUUGUUGGUGAGGUAACGGCUCACCAAGGCUAUGAUCAUUAGCUGGUCUGAGAGGAUGAUCAGCCAGACUGGGACUGAGAACGGCCCAGACUCCUACGGGAGGCAGCAGUAGGGAAUUUUCCACAAUGGACGAAAGUCUGAUGGAGCAACGCCGCGUGCAGGAUGAAUGCCUUCGGGUUGUAAACUGCUUUUAUAUGUGACGAUUAUGACGGUAGCAUAUGAAUAAGGAUCGGCUAAUUCCGUGCCAGCCGCCG
RNAcentral lists this ribosomal RNA (489 nucleotides) under uncultured bacterium. RNAcentral describes it as "bacterial SSU rRNA". It matches the Rfam family "Bacterial small subunit ribosomal RNA", at positions 28 to 517 of the family's 1533-position model. The record is from RNAcentral.